This 253-nucleotide ribosomal RNA is filed under the name uncultured bacterium. Its description in RNAcentral is "partial 16S ribosomal RNA". It matches the Rfam family "Bacterial small subunit ribosomal RNA", at positions 524 to 776 of the family's 1533-position model. The record is from RNAcentral.
UACGUAGGGUGCAAGCGUUGUCCGGAAUUAUUGGGCGUAAAGAGCUUGUAGGCGGUCUGUCGCGUCUGCUGUGAAAAUCCGGGGCUCAACCCCGGACUUGCAGUGGGUACGGGCAGACUAGAGUGUGGUAGGGGAGACUGGAAUUCCUGGUGUAGCGGUGAAAUGCGCAGAUAUCAGGAAGAACACCCGUGGCGAAAGCGGCUCUCUGGGACGGUACUGACGCUGAGACGCGAAAGCGUGGGGAGCGAACAGG